GGUGGGGCGCCGCCACCCUCCCGCCAGCCGCUCCCGCAUUAAAAUUUCAUGGGCGCUGCAGCAGCUACAAAGACGACGCCGGCUGCGCUGGGGACCAGAGGGAGGGAGGCUGCGGACGAGUGCGGGGAGGAGUUUGCGAGGGGAGGCGCUUGCAGGGGCUCCCCCAGUUCUGCGCUGGGAGCCGGGGCACAAAGAGCCCUCCGCACUCCGGCCGCAGGACCGCGGACCCGAGGGGAGCCACGGCCCCGUCCUCACAGCCCCGGCUCUCCAGCAUCCUUGUGCCCGCGCGGGAGCAGCCCAUUUCUCCGAGGUUGGCGACGACGCUGCAGGGACGGCCCUGCUCAGCGGGUGCCUCCGGACAAGUUCGUGCAGCUGAAGAGGCACCGGAACAGUUGUGCUGCUUCUCUUUCCUCUCUGUGUGCGCCUGGGCCGCAGAGGCCAGCUUCACGCUAUGUGAUCAGGUCCCCUCCACGUCCAACACGCUGAGGCCUCGCGGAUGUUAGAGAGUUGCACCAAGCUCUCAGGACGGAGCGGAAAGAAGGAAAUUUCCAGCUUCUUCGAGGCAGUCCUGGCCAUGCAGGAAAGCAGCCUUGCAGAUAAGUAUUCACAUGUACCCGCCUGUGGCCCAUCAGCCUGCCCUCAGCCAUGGCUCCUUGGCUUGGCAGUCGAGUGGGAACCUCAGCACUGUUCCCCGUGGGACACAUUCUCCCUAGUGCAAGGCUCCAGGUGUGUCUCUAGCUUUGGCCAGGUGCUGACAUCAAGCUCUGGCAGUAUGUUGAGAGGAUGGGUCCCUGACUGCCUGGCUCCAAUCUGCAGGCUGAUGAAGACGGCAUAGCUGACCAAAAACAAACCUGGGUUAGGAUUCACGGGCGUUCUCUGGCCUUCUCCAGACUGGUAGCACAGGCUGGUCUCAGAAGAGCCCCAGCUCACCCUCUUCUGGGUCCCUAGUCUCCUCGAGUACACAGGGUAUCAGGAAAGGUAUGGAGAGGGUGAGGCUGGGCAGAUGGGUCCCUCCUGUUUUCCACCUAUUGUGCACUGAAAGUAUCUCAGGACGCAGAGGUAGGGACAGACACAGACUUCGUAGCAGGGCUGGGACAGAACUGCAGACUCCUGACUCUGUCCGCUGUUCUUGCGUAGCACUCCCCAAGCUGCCUAGUUUGGCCUGCUUCUUCUGGGUCACUCUGCUGUUGGGGAGCAGGGAGGUUGCUGGGGCUACCAGGCCUCCAUAUCUCUGGGCCGGUGGCGGGGCUGGGUGUGGUUCUCUCCUGCGGCCUGGGUGGCUCUUCUGUCUUCCAGGAUGGCCCUAUCUGGAGGCUCUGCAGAAGGAGCUGGGCGUCGGGCCUGGGCCACCAAGGUGUUGGCUGGAUGCUGUGGACGUAGACCAGGCAUCUUCCUUACAGUGGACCCUGGGACCAGAGGUGAACAUCAGACAUGCGGUCCGCUUCUCUUGGCUCUUCAUGUAAGAACCCUCUUCCUCACAGUUCGGCGAGGAGGUCACUGCCCCGCACAUCUCCAGGACUCCAGACUUGCUGCGCUCUGGGGAGCUGGGUGAAUAGAUUCUGGCUGCAGGAACCCAGGAGCAGCCUUCAGUGGCCCCACCCCUGAGGACAUCUCCCUUCGCAGCCCUUGUGGGAAAAGUCUUCUGAGAAGAGCCGCUCUCGGCAGAUGGUCAGCUGAGCACCGGAUCCCGGGCCGGCACGAGCUCCAGGAGUGUGGAGAGGCCACAGCUCUCUCUCCACCCGCUCCCCUUGCUGGGCCCAAGUGUCUGAGGCUGGAGGCUGCUUCCUGACCUCAUGCGGGCUGCGCGCCUCCUCUGGCUCCCCUGUGACCACAGCUCUGCCUGGGCGAGCGUUUUCCUGAGUGCACCCUCCCAGGGCCAGGUCUCAACAGGGAUGAGGUGGGGAGGCACUGCUUGUGUGGGGUAGACUUGGCUUCUUGGGGGAACCCAGUGGAGUCUUCUGUUGUCAUUUGGGGAGGCUUCUUGGGUGAGAGCUCUCCAGGUCUCUCUCUCCCGAUGGCUCCCGAGGGGGUGGUCAGGGCUGGGGAGGAGCUAAGGCCUCCCCCACUGGGGUCUAGCAGGCAAGCGGAGGGGCAUAGGGCAGGGCAUUGUCUUGAAAAGGGGUAGAGGUGAGGAUGCUGGGGUCAGGGAGGCUGACUGGAAACAGACAGCCUUGGUCUCACUCCUGUAGUCCAAAGAGAAUCCGCUCCUCUCAAAGCUGGAAGGCCCACCUGAGCCCAGGCUUAGGGCAAGUGCUCAGCAGUUAGCCCCCUGGUCCGCAUGUAUGUGCCCAGAUCCUGUCUUUGGGAGCAGAGGCCAGCAGGACAGGCCUGUGCACAGCCUCCCAUGGGCCGUUUCCCUGUGCCCUCCCCCCGUUCCACCCACCCGCAGAGGGGACAGUCUUGCUGCGUGCAGAAGACUAGCUCGCGGCUUUCCUAAGACCAGUUUAAAAGCCGGAAGUCCUUUUCCUGGGGAGGGGAGAGUGACGGUUGUUCAUCAGCUCAGGCUACUGUAACAAUACUUAGGACAGACCCCAGGGGUUCGGUGCAUUUCUCAGGCUUCUGGAGCCCAGAAAGUCCAAGACCCAGGUGUGGGGGUUGGCUUCAGGGGAGGCCCGUACAGGUGGCACCUUCUACCGUGUCCUUACCCGGCCUUUUCUCCGUGGCGUCUUGGUGGCUUUGUAUAGUAGGACACCAGUCCUGCGGUACCAGGGACCCGUGCUCAUGACCUCAUUUUACUUCAGUCACAUCCUGAAAGGUCCUGGGUCGGCAUACAGCCCCUGGGUGGGUUGCAGAUCCAGCCUGUGCUCUUGGGGGACCACAGUUCAGCCACCACAAGCAUGGCAAGCUGCUGCCACGUCCCUCCAGGACCCCAGCCUGCAGGGAAAGGAGCAGCAAGUGAAUGGAAAACAGAGGUGCGGCCAGGGUGGGUCGAGGUGCCUCCUGGGCCCGCGGAACUGCUGGGCCCUGCACAGAGCCCAGUCCACAGAGAGCCGCACUUGAAGCCAGAUCGGGUCUCGGUGCGCCCUCUGCUGUGCAGCUCUGGGCAACUCCCCCGGCCUCCAAGAACCUUGACACCCACUGAAAUAGGCGCCAGCCCGUGUUCCUGUGAGCAGGUGCAGGGGCAGCUACAGAGAUAAUGUGCCUGGCACAGCGCUGGGCGCUUAGUCGGUGCUCAGUAAUCACUCCCACCUAGCUGGAGUUUAGAUUUAACUCUGACUUGGCACCUACUGAGCCCGAGGUGUCUCCGACGAGGCCUUCCCCUAGCUGCUGUCUUAACGACCCUUUCUAAUGAGCUUGGGGAAGAGGUCAGUUCUACUCCUCGGAAUUGAGCACCUACUUUGAGCUCACUCAUGGACCGGACCCUUGGGGAAAAUAAGUGAAGAUGCAGCCCUGGUUCAAAUCUUCAGUGCUAUCUAGCUACAGCAGAUGGGAGGAAGCCCGCUCGCAUGGAGAAUGGGGGUGACACCUACAGCAGUCGGAGAGGCUCUCGAGCAAAGCUGAGCCAACAAGGGCCUUGGAGGGCGACAAAGCUGUGGCUUAGCCCCGAGCUUCUAGGGAGAAACCAGAGCAAGAUGUUCAAAGUAAGGUCAGGCAGUGCAGGACUUAUCAGAGCCUUUGAAAUGCUCAUGGGGAUUUCAAAUACUCAGGGACAGAAUACAGGGUGAUGUGUUUCUUGGCCUUUCUGGCCACAGGAUCCUUUUCUCACAGAGCAUCACAGAACCGGGGACCAUGCAAGGCUGGGGUUUCUGAAGGGAACUUUUGUUGGUGAUAGGAGAUGUUGUAACUAGGGCACACCCAGGUGUUGCGUAGCAUUGGCUGGAAAGGAAACGUGGGGAGCCGGAAUUCAGGUCCCAGGCCAGGCAGGCUCAAUGCAGUUUGUGGGAAGGAGGGGUGGGCACGCUAGUCGUGAUGGGUGUCAUGUCUAUCAGGCAUGGGGGCUCUGGGGAUCACACCUGCGUGCGCGUGUGUGUGUGUGUGUGUGUGCACGUGUGCCUGAGUAACAGAACCCAGCCCUGUGGGAUGGGCCUGACCAGAACCAGGCAGGGUGUUUCCACCCAGGACAAGCAGUGUCCCAGCAUCUCCAGGGGAACUGUGGUGUUUGUGGGGGAGGUAGGGCUCUGAGGCCCACACCAAGAUUAGAAGUAGAAGGCAGGGUCCAAGCAGCCAGGCUCAGUUCUGGCAGGACUGAGGGCUGCAGAGGUGGAUCCCUGCCCUGGUCAGGCCCCGCACUUGGGGUGUGGGCAGAACUGGUGGACAGGAGGUUUCCGGAGCCACAGCUCAGGGGUGGGCAGUGUGUGUUAACAGUGUGUGUUAACAGUGGUGUUUACAGUGGUGUUUACAGUGCAUGGUGUGAUUAACCUACUAACCCAGGGCUCGGCUGGGACGCUGUGGCGUGUGGCGAGGUGCCUGGCCUUCUGCCAACCAACUAACCCACUAACCAGGCCCGCGCAUGCCCUACUAACCCCUGCAGCCAGACCCUACUAACUGCAGCUCAUGGGCCUUCGUAGCAGCUGGGCCGUGGGGGCAGACGAGGCUCCGGAGGGCCCGGCCCGGCUGGGGUCUCUGUGCAGAUGCUCACUGCAGACAGGGCAUGUGCGUGACCUAGCAGCUUGGCCACUUCAGUGGGGGACUUCAGCAAGUCACCUCACUUUUCUGAGCCCCUGUCCUAGGUGGGCACGGAGAGCACCGAUUCUGACCUCACUGGCUGCAGUGAGAAUUCUCUCCCUUAUGAAUGUCUUGGAGGACAAUUAAGAAAGAGGAGGGCUGGGGUUGGGGCAGAAACUUGUCUGGCAGCAGCUGCAACCUGGCCCUGGUCUCCCUGGGUGUUCUGCACACAGAUCCUUGCGCCUGGGGCCAGACACUUGCUUCGAACCCCUGUGUCUGCCCACGUUCUUCCUCCCUGUCAGCUUUCUUUUCCGUAGGCAGCUCUCCUGUCCGAUUACUAACUUGUCUAACCUGGGGGCACCUCACCUGUGCCCUGCCAGCCCUUAACAAACUAACGGACCUGUGUGCGUUAUUUCUUCUCUCCUAGCGACUCCUGUGUGUGUCCGCCAAGGCGCCCCCACCGCUGGUGCUGUGCUGACUUACUAACCCAGCCCUACUAACCCUGUUUUCUCUUCUUACUAACCCCAGCCCUGCCGAGCUCUGGGUCCCUCUGGGGGCUGGUCCCUCUCCUUCUGGCAAGCAGAGGUCCCCGGGCUGGCCCUGCAGACCGACACCCCAGGUUGGCUGCUUGUGAGAUCAGAGACCACUGGGCCAGGCCUAAGGCAGGGACGGCCUUAUUAACAACACCCAGAGGAGGAGAAGGUGGCCCUGCGGAUAUGGGAGGCUGGACUCUGAGCAUGACCUCUCUCCUCUGUGCAAAAGGCUGGUUGCCACUGGGAGUGGGCAGGGCCAGGGCAUCCUCUGGGGUGUGAGUGUGGAGGCCUGUGGGUCUACAGUGUGCAGUUCUGGGCUUUUCCCAGCCAGAAGAACAGAAAAAAGGGGCUUGUGCUUCCUUCCCUGGAAAUGUUCUUCAUUGGAAAGGGACAGAGACAGUAGCCAUUCUGGAGAGGAAGUCAAACAGGGCGUGUCCCAAAAUGGAACUCGGUCGAGGGUCCCUGCCCAUACCGGAAGUCACUCUUCGGAGCCUUUCCCAAGUAGGAAGUCAAUAAAGGGGUCUUUCCUACACUGAAAAAUUGAGGCAUUUAGUACAUAAGAAAUCAGCUACAGAGGUAUUCUCCAUACUUGAAGCUGACAAAAGGGGCAUUUUGACACUGGAAGUCACUAGAAAGGAUGGCCAAUAAUCAGUGAGGAGGCCCUUUCCCAUACAGGAAGUUGCCUAGGGAGGGGUUCUUCUAUGCCAAAAGAUGGAACAGGCCCGAAACUCACACCAGAAGUAGGUGGGGGGGGUUAGAACUUGUCACAUCCAGAAGGUAGAGGGCGUCUGUAGCUGUGUGGCAAAGGCAGUGAGGAAAACACCUGUACAAGAGCUGGGAGGUUGGCAGGGGGAGGAAGUGGGGAGCAGGACAUGAACUCCAGGGGCCCACAGGCUGGCCAGGAAGUCAGCCUCACUCCCUACCCUGUCCACGCCCCUGCCCGGCCAGCCUCCCCCAGAGCCCGCCAGUCGCUAAGCCGGGGCCACACCUGGGGGUGAUUUCAUGCCUCACCUCCAGUAGGCACCUUGGCCUCUCUGGGCUAAUCUCUAGCUACCUCGAACUAACUCUUGCUCUCACCCAGCUAAUCCCUGCUUCACCCUGGCUGCCCCAGGGGCUGACCACUAACAGCCAACCCCACCCAUCUGGGGGCUCCAGGCUCCCCGCCUGGCUUUGGCCUUGGUUCUUAAUUAACCUCUCCUUCCCCUUGACUAACUCCUGCCGUCCUGGUCUGUUCCUUUCAGCAGAAACUAAUGGCUUGUGGAUUUCUUUCUGACUAACAACAGGUGUAAGUGUCCUUGUUAGUAUCACUAUUAACAGCUUGGAUGGCAGCGUGGCCGGGAGGGUUUGGAUCCUGAGCAACAGGGAGAGGUGUAGCUAGUGAGGUCAGACUUGGCUCCUCUUGGUCAGAGCAGUCAGAUGCCAGCAGUGGCCACAGGUCUUAACAGGAGGUGCCAGGGCUGGGGUGUGGCCCGGGCCUGAUGGAGGCUGAUACUGGUGAGGUGGUGUCUGGCCUAGAGUCAGACUUCCAGAGUUUUGAACAAUGGUAUAGCCCCUUAUUUUCAUUUGCGUUGUCUCCCUUAAACAGUAAUCUCAUAGUCCACAUGAGCCGAUGUAAUUUAUGAAUCUUGACAUGCCUGUCGGGUGUGUGCAGACUAUGCAUAGAGUCAUCAGCCAUCAGCCCAGGGCCCAGAGUCCCCGCUAUGGGUAGGUCAGAGUUUUGGUAACCCCGGAGCAGACAGAAACACUCAGAUCUGCCAGCCCUUUGCAUCUUAGUGUCAUCUAAAUUGGCUUCCUCUAACUUCCAACUCUCCGAAUGGAAGUCUUUCUUGUAACCUAGUGGCACUGAGGGUCUCUUUACUGCUGGAGGAAGCCUUGCUGGUAGCAGAGAGGAGGAGCCGUAUGGCAUGGCGGCAGGGGUGCCCGGGUGGGUUAAGAGGUGGCACAGGCAGAGGGGAAUGGGAAGGGUGAUUUGUUUUGCUCUCCAGCUUGGUAGUCAGACUAUGGGAGAACAGUCAGGGUCUGGAGGACCAGAUUACUCAGCAGUUUCAGUGGCUGGCUGGGAGGCCUCAUGGACAGUAUUUGGGUCAGGGAGAGCUGUGAGAGCCCUCUCUGCCACCGCCAGGGUCUCAGAACUAACCCUUAGAGCUGGCAGUGCGAUCUGAUCCAGACAGUGGUCCAGACUCCUGAGCUACAGAGGAAAAAAAAAAAAAAAAAAAAAAAA
Fukomys damarensis (Damara mole-rat) is the source of this 7359-nucleotide long non-coding RNA. RefSeq lists it as uncharacterized. NCBI's taxonomy places the organism in Eukaryota, Metazoa, Chordata, Mammalia, Rodentia, Bathyergidae. The transcript has 5 exons. The record is from RefSeq and is a predicted model, not a curated record.